Molecule: ribosomal RNA, 238 nt
Filed under: uncultured bacterium
Lineage: Bacteria
Description: partial 16S ribosomal RNA
Rfam family: Bacterial small subunit ribosomal RNA
Source: RNAcentral
UGGCAAGCGUUGUCCGGAAUUAUUGGGCGUAAAGCGCGCGCAGGCGGAUCUGUAAGUCUAUCUUAAAAGUUCGGAGCUUAACUCCGUGAUGGGGUGGAAACUGUGGAUCUUGAGUAUCGGAGAGGAAAGCGGAAUUCCUAGUGUAGCGGUGAAAUGCGUAGAGAUUAGGAAGAACACCAGUGGCGAAGGCGGCUUUCUGGACGAAUACUGACGCUGAGGCGCGAAAGCGUGGGGAGCA